This 284-nucleotide signal recognition particle RNA is filed under the name Castor canadensis (American beaver). Its description in RNAcentral is "Metazoan signal recognition particle RNA (ENSCCNG00000023972.1)". It matches the Rfam family "Metazoan signal recognition particle RNA". Rfam says of the family: The signal recognition particle (SRP) is a universally conserved ribonucleoprotein. It is involved in the co-translational targeting of proteins to membranes. The record is from RNAcentral. Lineage: Eukaryota; Metazoa; Chordata; Mammalia; Rodentia; Castoridae.
GCCAGAGGUGGUAGUGUCAGCCUGUAGUCCUAGCUACUCAGGAGGCUGAAACAGGAGGAUCACUUGAGUCCAGGAGUUGUGGGCUGUAAUGUGCUAUACUGAUGGAGUGUUCUCACUAAGUUCAGUAUCAAUAUGGUGACCUCCUGGAAGUGGGGAACCACUAGGUCACCAAAUGGAUGGGUGAACCAGCCUAAGUCAAAACUCCCAUGCUGAUCAGUAGUGGGAUCAUGCCUGUGAAUAGCCACUGCACUCGAGCAUGGGCAACACAGUGAGACCUUCUCUCU